RNAcentral lists this ribosomal RNA (372 nucleotides) under uncultured bacterium. RNAcentral's name for it is "bacterial SSU rRNA". It matches the Rfam family "Bacterial small subunit ribosomal RNA", at positions 975 to 1365 of the family's 1533-position model. The record is from RNAcentral.
CUGGGUUUGACAUCCCCUGACGGCGUAUGAAAGUACGUUUUCGAAAGACAGGGAGACAGGUGCUGCAUGGCUGUCGUCAGCUCGUGUCGUGAGAUGUUCGGUUAAGUCCGAAAACGAGCGCAACCCCCGGGUCUAGUUACAAGUGUCUAGACCGACUGCCUGCGACAAGUGGGAGGAAGGUGGGGAUGACGUCAAGUCAGCAUGGCCUUUACAUCCAGGGCUACACACACGCUACAAUGGCGCGCACAAUGGGACGCAAGACCGCGAGGUGGAGCAAAUCCUGAAAGCGCGUCGUAGUUCGGAUUGCAGGCUGCAACUCGCCUGCAUGAAGCUGGAGUUGCUAGUAAACGCAGGUCAGCACACUGCGUUGAG